This 72-nucleotide small RNA is filed under the name Arabidopsis thaliana (thale cress). RNAcentral describes it as "ATSL149760". Lineage: Eukaryota; Viridiplantae; Streptophyta; Magnoliopsida; Brassicales; Brassicaceae. The record is from RNAcentral.
CAUUUUCAAAACAUAACACCCUAACAAUGAUUGAAACUUUUUUAAAGUGAAUUUCUAGUGAUUCGGAAGACA